This 477-nucleotide ribosomal RNA is filed under the name Candidatus Scalindua brodae. RNAcentral's name for it is "bacterial SSU rRNA". It matches the Rfam family "Bacterial small subunit ribosomal RNA", at positions 365 to 832 of the family's 1533-position model. Lineage: Bacteria; Pseudomonadati; Planctomycetota; Candidatus Brocadiia; Candidatus Brocadiales; Candidatus Scalinduaceae. The record is from RNAcentral.
UUCGCAAUGCCCGAAAGGGUGACGAAGCGACGCCGCGUGGGUGAGGAAGGCCUUCGGGUUGUAAAGCCCUGUCAGGAGUUAAGAAAUGUAAGUGUGCUAAUAUCGCAUUUACUUGACGAAGGCUCCAAAGGAAGUCACGGCUAACUCUGUGCCAGCAGCCGCGGUAAUACAGAGGUGGCAAGCGUUGUUCGGAAUUAUUGGGCGUAAAGAGCACGUAGGUGGGUUUGUAAGUCAGAUGUGAAAGCCUCCUGUUCAACGGGAGAAUUGCAUCUGAAACUACAGAUCUUGAGUAUAGGAGGGGAGAAUGGAACUUCUGGUGGAGCGGUGAAAUGCGUAGAUAUCAGAAGGAACGCCGGCGGCGAAAGCGAUUCUCUGGCCUAUUACUGACACUCAGUGUGCGAAAGCUAGGGGAGCAAACGGGAUUAGAUACCCCGGUAGUCCUAGCCGUAAACGAUGGGCACUAAGUAGAGGGGUUUU